This 92-nucleotide transfer RNA is filed under the name Bacteriophage sp. RNAcentral describes it as "tRNA-Ser". It matches the Rfam family "tRNA". Rfam says of the family: Transfer RNA (tRNA) molecules are approximately 80 nucleotides in length. RNAcentral also lists the same sequence under 1 other name. The record is from RNAcentral.
GGAAGUAUAAGCCUAAUUGGUAAGGCAGUAGUCUUGAAAACUACUAGUAAUCGUGUAAAAGCGGUGUGCCAGUUCGAGUCUGGCUGCUUCCU